UAUGACGCCAUUUUUCAAUUGUGUUGCAUCUCGCGCGAGUACGUUGUCGUCGAGUGGUGGUUCUUUAUUCUAUGGAGUGGUUCUGAAAGCGCUGCGUUAGGGGCGACUGCAACCAGGCGUUGCGGCAAGUUACGGUGGGAACUUCUGUCCGUGCUGUGUGAUUGCGACGAGGACGACUGCCGCCAGCAGCGGCGUGUCGCCGAUUUCGUCUUUGCCGACAUCGAGCAAGUGCAGCGCCGGAAGUGUUGCGUUUUGCACUGCAUUUUCCUUGUGAUAUGGGAGAUCGCAACGCAGAGACGACCAGAUGCACACGAAAGACUACCAGCGGAGAGUGACCUGUGCCAUAUUUCUCUUAACCUCUCAGGUAUUCAAGAAAUGGCAACAUCCAGAAGAAGACGCCAUCUUAUCCAGCACGUUAUGGGUACACUCUGGUGGCUCCCGCCCCUGCAUCCUACGACCACCGUGUCCUCACUAUGUUCACUAGGGAGUUCGAAGCCUUUGGCGGCUCCUGCCACUGCGUCCUGCCACCACCGUGUCCUGGCUACGUCCACUAGGGAGUUGGCAGCCUUCGUGAUGAUGCCAAGCAGGCUGGAAGCUGACAGAACGAUCGAGGUUGCCUCGAAAUUUUACCCAAGCCGUGCCACACACUUGGGCCAGGCCUCUUGCAAACGACGUAUAACCAGGCUCAACGCAGGAUGUCGAGUGAGUCCGGAGAUCGAGGCAACCUGCUGUGCAACCAGCGUGCAACCUUUGGUGACCCUCAAUAUGUUCCACCUAUUUCACAGCUGCACUCAGCUUCCACCUAUCCAAACCGCAUCGCCAGCUGUGGUCACUCAUCGAACCAUGGAUGAAUGUUGGGGUGGAGUGAUUUGAAGAGACAUUUUUUUGUCUCUUCAAAUCCUUAGCAAAUACUUGUGUUAUUAUAAUUAAUAUGUGUCUUUAGUGCCUAGUUUUUAAUGGUUCCUUUCUAUUAGAAUUCUCGCCAUCGAUUCCUGCUAUUAUAAUGUAUGUCUGUCUUUAUGCACAGUUUUUCAUAGUUCUUUUGUACUUGUCUAUGUAAUUGAUAGGUUCAUACUUCUUGUUAUACAGAAGGCUAAAAUGCAAACUUACGGCAUUUUUUUCUUCCUUUUGAUAAUCUACAGCACUGCAAAGUGUUCAAGAAAUGUAACCCAACGUGGGCUCUGGUGCAGGAAAAAUUUAAGAGCAAUAUAGAGUACUUAUUUCAAGCACCCAUUAUUUUUGGAAAAGUAAAGAAUAUAGGAGCACAAAAAAGAAAAUAUUAAACUAGAGAAACAUGAGUUCCCCUCAUAAGUCUGAUAAUAAUGUGACUUCCCUUCACUGCAAAGACACCAGUAAUAUACUCGCAUACAAGGUUUGAAACAAGAAAGCUAUGAUGCCCUUGGCAUUUCUCAGUGCCUAUUUGUCACACUGACGAAUGUCAAAGGCAUCGUAGGUUUCAUGUACACAUUGGUUGUGUUACACUUUUGAGUAUUGCAUUUCUCAAACACAAAGGUUUACAGCAGUGCUUUAAAUAGCAAAUGCAUUUCCUAAUUUAUUAGUGCAAGAGGAACAGUACAGAUCAUGUAAAAAUUUUUUUACAGACUAUAUGUCCAUGGAUGCACGCUUCUGAUGACAUAGCAGUGACGUGGUCGUGGGAUGAAUGACUUUAUUUCAGAUUUAAAUAUUGGCUUCCAAGUCUGGGUUAGUCUCCUACACUGAAUAGUCUAGGUCAGAGCUCAUUUACUAGAGAAAGUGAAUUAAACUAGGAAUUAUAAACAUCAAAAGAUCUUGUUUAGGAAAUUAAUGUGACAAUCAGCAAGGUUCUUUGGGUAUUCAUUUCCAAAUUUGUAGGAUAUAUUUUAUGACUGGUUUCAUUAUUGUGAGAACAAAUAUUUGUUUAUUGUCACACCAGAGUUGGCUGCCCCCAUUUGUAUACAGCCCCUUUACAGGCUGAAAAUUCAGUGUGUUACCCUAUUUACUCGCAUAAUGAUCGCACUUUAUUGUAAAAAAAUUUGACUCAAAUUCAGAGGUGCAAUCAUUACGCUGGGCAAAUUUCCCACCAAAAGAAAAAAAUAGAUCCUCUGGCAUUUGCUACGGGAUGACAACAGGUCAACAAAGAGGUGGCUGCCUCUGUAUGUACUGCGGGACACACACACAAAACAAAAACAUGGUGGCCGGCUGAGCAAGCCGAACGCGCCGAACACAAUUUUUUUUUCUUUUCGUGAGUACAUUACGUGCAUUCAAACAGUUUCUUCCGUAUCAGUAAUGAAUAAUAUCGGCAAGUUUGCGGCAAUAACAUAGCCAUGUCCACUUUGAGGGGACAGAAACAGAUGGGCGCGCUUAGCUGGGUGUGACAUAGGAACACAUGGCGGGCAUGCUGCGGAAACUGCGGCAUUUGUCUUCACCGCUAUCCUAAUAUGGCACGUUUCCGCUUAGGGUGGGCGAAUAUCUUAGCUGCGUUACAAACGUCGGCGAAUGAAUAGGGUACACUUCUAACGUAUCACUGUAAACGUGGCUGCUAUCAUUGCCACUCGCGAUUUGUUGCGUGCCCACAAGUGCAGACGAGGAGAAACGAAAGACGCCUUUUUUGUGGUUUUUGUUAACCACAACCAUUACAAAGACUACACAUAAUAAAGGCAAGUUUGGUUGUAGCUUUUUUUUGUCAUAUAAGUGCGGAAAGUGAUGGAAGGAAUGAAAUGGGGCAUCUGCUUAAGAAUGUUUGGUGCGUGCAGACUACUUGGUUUGUCUUGAAGAGUUGUUCUCAUAGCAGUUGACAGAUGGUAAGCGCGAUCAUUAUUAGCUAGACUUGGCACAUGACAUAUCGCUGCGGCAAGUUUGGGGUGCAAUCUUACACGAGAAAUAAAAAAAUCGAAUUUUGACAUCAGAAUUUAGGGGUGCGAUCAUUAUGCGAGUAAAUACGGUAUUAGGUUGUUUUUGGUUUUACGCACUCAAUGUUAAGGGAUGCAAAUGGUGACAUACAACAGAAUGCAAAAAUGACUAAUGAAUGCAAGCAGGGCGUGGGGCUUUUUAGGCAGAUGCAUGCGUGUGCUAUUUAUAAAGCUCCCCAUGGUAUUUAUUUAUUUAUUUAUUUUAAAUACUUUCAAGGCCCGUAGGCGCUACAGAAAGGAGUGGUACAUAUACAUAGAAAAAAUGCAGAUGAAUGAAUAAAACAUUUGUUAGAUGGCUUGGAGAACAGCAGUCUUGAACCCCGAUGAGUCUAUAAUAGUAGCGACCGAUGCGGGAAGGUGGUUCCAGUCAUUGCAGGUGCGAGGUAAAAAAGAGUAAUAGUACGCGUUCGUGCGACAAGAUGGCACGAAAACUUUAUAAAGGUGAUCACUGCGGGAUGAAAAGUAGGAAGGACGAGUAAGAAGUUUUGCUUUUAAUACCGGGUUGUGGUAAAUCUUGUGGAAAAGGCAGAGGCGACUGUA
Molecule: non-coding RNA, 3428 nt
Organism: Dermacentor albipictus
Lineage: Eukaryota; Metazoa; Arthropoda; Arachnida; Ixodida; Ixodidae
Source: RefSeq, a predicted model, not a curated record